Molecule: ribosomal RNA, 355 nt
Filed under: Asterionellopsis glacialis
Lineage: Eukaryota; Bacillariophyta; Plagiogrammaphyceae; Rhaphoneidales; Asterionellopsidaceae
Description: partial Bacterial large subunit ribosomal RNA
Rfam family: Bacterial large subunit ribosomal RNA
Source: RNAcentral
CUUGUGUAGCAUAGGUGGGAGACUGUGAAGCUGGCACGCCAGUGCUGGUGGAGUCGCCGUUGAAAUACCACUCUGGUCGAAUUGGGCAUCUAACUUCGGACCAUGAUCUGGUUCAGGGACAGUGCCUGGUGGGUAGUUUAACUGGGGCGGUUGCCUCCAAAAAUGUAACGGAGGCGCCCAAAGGUUCCCUCAGCCUGGUUGGCAAUCAGGUGUCGAGUGCAAGUGCACAAGGGAGCUUGACUGUGAGACCGACGGGUCGAGCAGGGACGAAAGUCGGGACUAGUGAUCCGGCACUGGCUUGUGGAAGCGGUGUCGCUCAACGGAUAAAAGGUACCCCGGGGAUAACAGGCUGAUC